CUCCAGAACGUUCGGCGCCGCGGUCUGGCGCUCAUCGCGAUGCGCUGCACGGAGCGCCCUGCUGUCCCGACAGCAGCGUGUGCACCACAGACUCGAGUUAACGUAUGGCACGGUGUGCCACCACUUCGAAUGGGGUUUUCUGGGUAUGCAAAGCUUCCCUGCCAUCUUUACCUGCAGCAAAAGGGAACAACGUGGAAAUUCACUACCAGUAGAGGAAAAAAAAAAUAAAGCCAACGGCUGAAUUGAACUCAGCUCCCAACGGCUGUGGCUGCACACACAGGAUCAUUUCAACUCUGUCUCCUUGAAGUGAGUGCAAGAAACCGAGCCUUGUCCCAGGAGUGCAAGUCUGAGUUAUACUGCAGAGCAGCGAGGAACUAUCAUUGCCAAUGGGACUUCUUGGAAGUGCACUGCUGGAAAACCAAGUGCUGAUUUGAUCCUGUGAAAACCUCCCAAACAACAUCAGCAGUUUGAACUUCCCCACUGCGGAGCCGUCCCUUGUUCCCUCUGUGAGCAAUCUGCAAAGACCAGGCUGCCCCAUCCUGCCUGAUGGGGAACCACUCCGAGGAAACCAGGGUGGUGCUGCAGGGCAAAAGGCACAGCCCCCAUGAGGAGCAGGAGGCGUUGUGCAGGUCAGUCCCUAACCUGCAGUCUCACCCUGCCUGCAGGCAGAGCUCUCA
Molecule: long non-coding RNA, 677 nt
Organism: Lagopus muta (rock ptarmigan)
Lineage: Eukaryota; Metazoa; Chordata; Aves; Galliformes; Phasianidae
Exons: 4
Source: RefSeq, a predicted model, not a curated record